This is a long non-coding RNA of Mus pahari (shrew mouse), 2034 nucleotides long. RefSeq lists it as uncharacterized. The record is from RefSeq and is a predicted model, not a curated record. NCBI's taxonomy places the organism in Eukaryota, Metazoa, Chordata, Mammalia, Rodentia, Muridae. The transcript is spliced from 3 exons.
GGGGAGAUCGAACCUUUCGAUUGUAACUGGGACAAUUUGCAUAGUGAUUCCCUUUCAGAGCUUUCUCGGGCCCAUAACAAGCGCAGGCAGCUAUUCAAAUGCAAGUUGCGUCCCCAAUUGCGCCGCUGGCCUGAGCUAAAGGAGCAGCUCCUCACUGUUCGAGACGAGACCAGCGUUGGGGUUCUGGGUCACCUCUUUUCUCCCGGCUUUUCCCUUGCUCUCUGGUUCCUGAAUUAGCUGUUUGUUUAUGGCUCCAGACGUGUGUGUGCCAGCGAGCCGAGGCAACGCGCGAGGGAGGGAAUUGAUCUUUCCCCAGACUCAAAGCUGGAGCCGAAGAAGUGCGGGGGAUUUGGGGGUUCUGAGUGGGACUCAGACCCUGGGUGCUGAGGGGAAGCCCGUGGGCUCUCUGGCCCGCUUCUCUAACCUCAGCGACCUUGCAGGAAUCCUCAGGCCUGAGAGCGCCCAGGCUCUGGGCUUUGCAGAAAGUGGCGGCGGCUGUGUCCCGGGUUUUAAAAUCUACGCAAAGAAAGGAGGCAAAGCUGAAAGCUUGUCGCGUGUCAGAAGCAACCUGCCGUGAAAUCCGCUAAUGCGCCCCGACUCGCCCUUCGCGCAUGUAGCCACAGCAAAUUAUUGCUCAUUUGAUACCCAGAAUUCUAUUGACCAUGGCUUUUGUCGGAGAGAGAAUUCUAACUACUGCUGCUCUGGGCUCAGAGCUGAGGCUGGAAACAAGUAAAUCUAGCAAGAAUAGAUGGAGAGGUGCUGGUGACUGGAGCCACGUGGCCUUGCAUAGAAACCUGCCUUUUACUCUGCCUGCCUUGCUCCAGUUCAGGAAAAAGGUCGGCCCCUUUGGAACAGAUUUGCUUACUUGGAAGGCUGGGUAUUCAUUUGGCAAGUUCUUUCCAGCUCUAGCCAGGCUAGGGGAGAAAAUGAGACAAUGGAAGAUUGCUCCACAGGCUUUUGGUCAAAGCUAACCCAAGGCAGGAAAUACUUGAAGAUCACGUCCUAAAUUUCAACCCCACCCCGACCCCUUCAAGACUCUAGGGCAUCACAGAGCUGCUAGAGUGGAGAAAGAAUGCUGAGAUCUGAGUCUGGUUGUCAGUGGGCACCCAGCCUCCACAACAGGAACCACAGCCAUAGUGUCAAACUGUGUGAAGAAGGAGCCUGAAGAUUCACAGCUCCAGGUUGCUGGAGAGAGUUAGUCCCUAAAUGAGGCUGGAGAAGUGGGCAAUGAGAAAGAUCAGGUGAGUUCCCCAGGAAGCCAGUCACAGAAUCUGCAUUCCUGUUGCAAGAAGCUGAUGCUGGAGACCCAAAGACUUGACCUGCCGAAGGGUACCUACCCAUCUCCCUCCUGGCCUAGUCAGGGACCUCCACCUCACCUCCUCACUGCCUCCAUCUGGGAGAAAGUCACCUCGACUUUCAAGACUAAAUGAAUCAGAUCACAGAACCUGUCAGAUUUCCAAGGAACAAGCAACCCAUACCCUUCCCCGAAACCCUAACACGGAGAAAGUCCAUGGAAGGGAUGGCUGGCAGAGCUUUCAUUUCAACAAGUACUGGGAGCUAAACCUUCUAGGCCGGUUUCCAGAGCAGCAACAAGAACAUAAAAGGAAGCAAUUAACGGUUUUCUAAAUCAGUCCCAGCUUGUGCCGCCUGACUCCAAACCUAAAGGUGCAUUUAAGGGUACUAAGGGACCUGGCUAGGUAGUAGUUGUGUUUAUUUGUUUGUUUGUUUGUUUGUUUGUUUUCUAAUGAUACUGUUAAAUGUGUGUGUGAAACCACAGCCAAGAAGCCACAUUGUUCCAGAACCAGGCAGUAAAAUUGUAGGAGUGAGCACUGCAGACAGCAUGCCCAAUAUGGAGUACAGGGAAAUAUGGAGUAUGGGAGACAUGGAGAAACUGCGGUGAAUUCUGACAAUUACGUUGAACACAUUGGGAGUUUGCAGGAAGAUACACUGUGGGCUCUUUUGUAUUUUUAUGUAGAUUUAAAAACAAACAAAACCCCCCAAACCAGGCUGUUGAUGCAAUCAUAGCAUCUCAGA